RNAcentral lists this ribosomal RNA (258 nucleotides) under uncultured bacterium. RNAcentral describes it as "partial 16S ribosomal RNA". It matches the Rfam family "Bacterial small subunit ribosomal RNA", at positions 524 to 776 of the family's 1533-position model. The record is from RNAcentral.
UACGAAGGGUGCAAGCGUUACUCGGAAUUACUGGGCGUAAAGCGUGCGUAGGUGGUGAGUUAAGUCUGUCGUGAAAGCCCCGGGCUCAACCUGGGAAUGGCGAUGGAUACUGGCUCGCUAGAGUGAUGUAGGGGGAGACUAGAAUUCCGUGGUGUAGCGGUAGAAAUGCGCAGAUAUCAGGAGGAACACCGAUGGCGAAGGCAGGUCUCUGGGCGAUUAACUGACGCUGAGGAGCGAAAGCCAUGGGGAGCGAACAGG